AGAGUUUGAGAAGCCUGAGAGCAAACCUCCAGCAUCCAGAUUAUCCUUCAAAGAUGGCAAAGGAAAGAAAAGCUCUAAAAUCACCCAAUGCAUUGGAACUAGUUCUAAAAUAUCUACACCUUAAUGAAACCAAUUAUUCUGGCUGACCUGGGAGACAGGGAGAGUGGUAGCCUACAGAAGUGUCUAAUGAAGUCAGCCACCAGUCCCUAAGAGAAGCUGGAGCAACAGGAAGUGUUCCCCCCACCCUCUCACCCCCGCCCCCGACUCCUGCACUCGCUCUUUCUCUGUCUUUCCAGGAGGCAUACACCAUUCGAGAACUCCAUAGAGAAGACUCUGCCAUCUUCAGCAGCCCCACCCCUUACAGUCCUCCCCCCAUUGGAGAACACGUACCGCUAACUUGGGCAUCUCCAGCCAGCCGACACGUCAUCAAGAUGGCUUUUGCAGACUUCCCAAGGCUGAGGGAGCCAUGGCCCUCAUUGCUGCGUUAUUGAUGGUGGUCUUAGAGAGAGAUGGAUCAUGUCAUCACUAUCCUCUCACAGCCUCAUCCGUUACAUUGACUUAGCUGUAUGUCCAUCAAGAUACCACAAUAUUCUCCAUAGACACUGGCGGUCUCCACUCACAGUGAAGAAAGUGAAGAUGACCAUCUGAACAGCGGAGAGAUGGUGCUGAUUACUCUGCUUCCCUUCACAUCGCUAGGGUUGCUCUCUGAGGCUCUUCCCAUGUGUUUAUAUCAAAGAUGCCCACUAUGGAUGUGGUGGCUGUUUGGCCUAAACGGCAGCCAGGACUGACCCUGCUGAACUAGCGUGUCGGUGGCGACAGUAUGGAGGGUCGGAUAUUGUUUCAUUGUGUGACGUUGCUGCAGAUCAGAAGGCACAUGCAUGUUUUGAAAAAGUGAGGCUGCUCCUCUAGGCCCGUUACGAGACAGACUUCACACUGAAGAUUCUCAGCUUUUCAAAG
Molecule: long non-coding RNA, 957 nt
Filed under: Equus caballus (horse)
Lineage: Eukaryota; Metazoa; Chordata; Mammalia; Perissodactyla; Equidae
Description: lncRNA (ENSECAG00000046968.1)
Source: RNAcentral